Molecule: ribosomal RNA, 882 nt
Filed under: uncultured Candidatus Saccharibacteria bacterium
Lineage: Bacteria; Candidatus Saccharimonadota
Description: bacterial SSU rRNA
Rfam family: Bacterial small subunit ribosomal RNA
Source: RNAcentral
GUAGGUGGCAGAGUAUGUCUGUAGUGAAAGCGUGUGGCUCAACCAUAUACACAUUACAGAAACUGCUCAGCUAGAGGGCGAGAGAGGUUACUAGAAUUCCUAGUGUAGGAGUGAAAUCCGUAGAUAUUAGGAGGAAUACCGAUGGCGUAGGCAGGUAACUGGCUCGUCCCUGACACUAAGGCACGAAAGCGUGGGGAGCAAACGGGAUUAGAUACCCCGGUAGUCCACGCUGUAAACGAUGGAUGCUAGCUGUAAGAGGUAUCGACCCCUCUUGUAGCGAAGCUAACGCGUUAAGCAUCCCGCCUGUGGAGUACGGUCGCAAGACUAAAACAUAAAGGAAUUGACGGGGACCCGCACAAGCGGUGGAGCGUGUUGUUUAAUUCGAUGGUAAACGAAGAACCUUACCCAGGUUUGACAUCCUUGGAAUUUUGCCGAAAGGCGAGAGUGCUUUAUUGAGCCAAGUGACAGGUGUUGCAUGGCCGUCGUCAGCUCGUGUCGUGAGAUGUUUGGUUAAGUCCAUCAACGAGCGCAACCCUUAUAGUCUGUUGUAUUUUUCAGGCUAGACUGCCCCGGUAACGGGGAGGAAGGAGGGGAUGAUGUCAGGUCAGUAUUUCCCUUACACCCUGGGCUAGAAACACGAUACAAUGGUUAGUACAAUGCGCAGCGAAGCCGCGAGGUGGAGCAAAUCGCAUCAAAGCUAAUCUCAGUUCGGAUAAGAGGCUGAAACUCGCCUCUUUGAAGGCGGAAUCGCUAGUAAUCGCAGAUCAGCAAGCUGCGGUGAAUACGUUCCCGGGUCUUGUACACACCGCCCGUCAAACCAUGAAAGUCACCAACACCCGAAGUCCGAUUCGUCGGCCUAAGGUGGGGGGGAUGAUUGGGGUU